UACGGCCACACACGUUGAAACACCGGUUCCCGUACGAUCACCGAAGUUAAGCAAAGUCGAGCCUAGUCAGUAUCUAGGUGGGUGACCGUUUGGGAAUACUAGGUGCU
This is a non-coding RNA of Acanthosepion pharaonis, 107 nucleotides long. Lineage: Eukaryota; Metazoa; Mollusca; Cephalopoda; Sepiida; Sepiidae. The record is from the annotation of a GenBank genome assembly.